UGGGGAAUAUUGGACAAUGGGCGCAAGCCUGAUCCAGCCAUGCCGCGUGGAUGAUGAAGGCCUUAGGGUUGUAAAGUCCUUUCGGCGGGGAAGAUAAUGACGGUACCCGCAUAAGAAGCCCCGGCUAACUUCGUGCCAGCAGCCGCGGUAAUACGAAGGGGGCUAGCGUUGCUCGGAAUUACUGGGCGUAAAGCGCACGUAGGCGGCUUGUUAAGUCGGAGGUGAAAUCCUGGAGCUCAACUCCAGAACUGCCUUCGAUACUGGCGAGCUUGAGUUCGGGAGAGGUGAGUGGAACUGCGAGUGUAGAGGUGAAAUUCGUAGAUAUUCGCAAGAACACCAGUGGCGAAGGCGGCUCACUGGCCCGAUACUGACGCUGAGGUGCGAAAGCGUGGGGAGCAAACA
Molecule: ribosomal RNA, 402 nt
Filed under: uncultured Rhodoplanes sp.
Lineage: Bacteria; Pseudomonadati; Pseudomonadota; Alphaproteobacteria; Hyphomicrobiales; Nitrobacteraceae
Description: bacterial SSU rRNA
Rfam family: Bacterial small subunit ribosomal RNA
Source: RNAcentral